Phocoena sinus (vaquita) is the source of this 1686-nucleotide long non-coding RNA. The record is from Ensembl. Lineage: Eukaryota; Metazoa; Chordata; Mammalia; Artiodactyla; Phocoenidae.
CUGUGAAUAUAUCUUUAAAAACAUUGAAAUGAACACUUUAAAUGGGAAAAUUGUAUAACGUGUUAUAUAUGUUUUAAAGCUAGCUCAAUGAAUGCCAAGAAGAAUAGGAUAAAAAAGGAUUUCAAAAGUGGGAGGGUAUGAUAAGGGAGAAAACUGUGACUUUUACUAGAUUAUACAUUUCUCCAGCACAUACUUUUUAAUUGCUAGUACUUAACCUAACCUUCCUUCAGAUGCUGUUUUCAUUGCCUCUUGCUUAUUUAAGUAUUCUUUGCUUCCUUAAUUCAAAUGAGCAAGUCCUUCUUACAUAUACCAGUUGCAGAAAGAACUAGAGAAGCUAAAAUAUAACUGCUAAUAUUCCCCAGUUUUGUUUUGCUAUAGAUCUUAUUACUUUCACAAAAUGUUGCUACUUAAUUAUUGAAAACUUGUUCUGCCUAAUCUGACACACCUGUUUCAUUUUGGUAAUGGUGCUGCAGCAGGUAACCACCUCUACACAGAUUGCACAACCUUUAAUACUUACUGACUCAUCUGUUUCUCUGAAAAAAGACUUCCAUCUGGGUAUCUUAGUCAUGACAGGUUUCUAACUUCAGGUACAUGUUCUGCUAGAAACAAAUUCACCACAAAAUUUUAGACCCAAUAGUUGAUCAUUUCUAAUUAUUCCUUUUCAGUAUAAACUCUCCUUUAAUAAUGUUCAUGUAUUUUUCUUGUAAUUAGACCUAAUUGCAGUUACUAAAUCAAGCAAAAAUUUUAAAUGACAUAGGAACUCAAAUGGUAAGAGACCCAAUCUCAAUCCAGGUACUUCUACAAAUUUAACCAUUUCUUCCUCCCAAGCAACAAGGUCUACAUGCUAAAAGGACCUGGGAGAGCACGUUUUUUCAGUCUAUAAAACAUUUUGUUAUUCUUUUCCAUCACUGAUGCCUACUUUGUUUAUGCUUAAGUAACAUAAAAAGGGCAUUAAAAUAUUCCUGGAUGAGUCCAAGUAUUUCUGCUCUGUGGUAAAUUUCCAUGGAGACCCUAGUUUGCAACAUAAUCUGAGGAAAAAACUGUUAUAUUCCACAUUACUGGGUAUAUACCCCUACAGUAUGAUUAUGAGUUUAAUGUACACUUAAGAGUUAUAUUAUUAUCAUAACUCUCCCAGAUAUUUUAAUUUAGCAUAAGAGAUAGCAUUGUAUGGAAAAAGCACUGGUUAAAGAAUUAUAAGUUGGAAGGUUGUACAUCAAGUUUGUCAUUAUCUAGAUACACAAUCUUGGUCAAGUCAUUAACAUCUCUAAGCCUCAAUAUAUGGAGGCUUAAUGAUUGCUAACGGCCAUUCCAAUUCUAAGGUUUAAUGAUUCUUCAACCCAUGUAAUCCAUUAUAAUGCAUAUUUAUUAAUAACAAGGCUAAUUAUGAUAGUACCACACAUGGGGCUUUCUUGGUGGCACAGUGGUUGAGAAUCCACCUGCCAGUGCAGGGGACACGGGUUUGAGCCCUGGUUCAGGAAGAUCCCACAUGGCACAGAGCAACUAAGCCCAUGAGCCACAACUGCUGAGCCCAUGUGCCACGACUACUGAAGCCCGCACACCUAGAGCCCGUGCUCCGCAACAAGAGAAGCCACCACAAUGAGAAGGCUGUGCACUGCAAUGAAGAGUAGCCCCCACUUGCCACAACUAGAGAAAGUCCACGUGCAGCAACGAAGACCCAACACAGCC